UCCAACCCCUGUGACAUACCUUAAUGUUGCCUCGGCGGAUCAGCCCGCGCCCCGUAAAACGGGACGGCCCGCCAGAGGACCCAAACUCUAAUGUUUCUUAUUGUAACUUCUGAGUAAAACAAACAAAUAAAUCAAAACUUUCAACAACGGAUCUCUUGGUUCUGGCAUCGAUGAAGAACGCAGCAAAAUGCGAUAAGUAAUGUGAAUUGCAGAAUUCAGUGAAUCAUCGAAUCUUUGAACGCACAUUGCGCCCGCUGGUAUUCCGGCGGGCAUGCCUGUUCGAGCGUCAUUUCAACCCUCAAGCCCCCGGGUUUGGUGUUGGGGAUCGGCUCUGCCUUCUGGCGGUGCCGCCCCCGAAAUACAUUGGCGGUCUCGCUGCAGCCUCCAUUGCGUAGUAGCUAACACCUCGCAACUGGAACGCGGCGCGGCCAUGCCGUAAAACCCCAACUUCUGAAUGUUGACCUCGGAUCAGGUAGGAAUACCCGCUGAACUUAAGCAUAUCAUAGCCGGAGGGAAA
Molecule: ribosomal RNA, 517 nt
Filed under: Fusarium tricinctum
Lineage: Eukaryota; Fungi; Ascomycota; Sordariomycetes; Hypocreales; Nectriaceae
Description: eukaryotic LSU rRNA
Rfam family: 5.8S ribosomal RNA (bases 136-289)
Source: RNAcentral